RNAcentral lists this non-coding RNA (1000 nucleotides) under Trichomonas vaginalis G3. RNAcentral describes it as "Eukaryotic large subunit ribosomal RNA". It matches the Rfam family "Eukaryotic large subunit ribosomal RNA", at positions 1306 to 2505 of the family's 3401-position model. The record is from Rfam by way of RNAcentral. Lineage: Eukaryota; Parabasalia; Trichomonadida; Trichomonadidae.
AGGGCCCCGAAAAUGAAUGGCGCAUAUAGUACUACCGAUCUCAGACAUCAGUUCUAUUGAACUGAGAGUAGGGGGAUGUGGACAUUUUGUGAAGGUGCAAUGUGAGUUGGACUGGAAGAAUGUCUAUUACAGAUCCUAAUUGAAGUAGCGAUUAUCCAGGCUUGUAUCCUGGGGGCUGAUGAGGAGUAGGGUUUCUGGACAACUUAAACAGAUCCAGAGUUAGUCGAUCCUAAUCUCAAUAAUGGGAGAAAGGGAGUACAGUUGAUAUUCUGUAACUGACAACAGUUCGCGGCAACGCAUACUAUUUUUCUCCGCCAAUCUUAUACCGUUGGUAGGGAUCUCUUUCCUACAUGACAGUACUAAUACCCAGGGAAACUGGUCAUCAGGCGAACUGCGGCGUUCUGCUGGCAAAACAUAGCUUCGGUUAUGUCAAUGGCUAUUGGAUUGGUCCAUGAAGCGAAAAAUAGUUUACUGUGUCACUCGUACCGAUAACCGCAUCAGGUCUUCUAGGUAAGUAGCCUAUGGCCAUUGAGGCAUGAUAGUUCAGGGAAUUCGGCCAAUUAGAGCUGUAACUUCGGGAUAAAGCUUGGCUCUGAUGAAAAUCAGAACCGAUUGUUACGCGGAGAGCCCAACUGUUUAAUAAAAACGUAGUGUCGCGCUGUGGUAGUAUAGCCAGUGAACGCGACAUGAAUCCUGCUCAGUGCUGUGUCUGUUAAUAUGGUUCAAGCCAACGAAGCACCGGUAAAUAGCUGGGGUAACUAUGACUCUUAUCAAAGUAGCGAAAUACCUCGUCACUUAAUUAGUGACCUGCAUGAACGGAGCUAUGAGGUUCUCACUGUCCCAAACUGUCUCUCAGCGAACCAACUGUAGUGGGAACGGUCACUAGAUAUCCAGCGGGGAAAGAAGACCCUGUAGAGCUUCACUUUGGUCUAGUCUUGUAUAGUUCCUGCGGGGGUGUAGACUAGGUGGGAGAGCAAUCGAUUCUGAAAAACCACUACCC